GUGUCUGUAGCCUAGUGGCAAAAGGCAGCACUCUAGAUGCUGAGGUCAUGGGUUUGAAUCCCACCAGACACA
This 72-nucleotide transfer RNA is filed under the name Cronartium ribicola 11-2. RNAcentral describes it as "tRNA-Sup (CTA) (tRNA-Sup-CTA-112-1)". It matches the Rfam family "tRNA". Rfam says of the family: Transfer RNA (tRNA) molecules are approximately 80 nucleotides in length. Their secondary structure includes four short double-helical elements and three loops (D, anti-codon, and T loops). Further hydrogen bonds mediate the characteristic L-shaped molecular structure. tRNAs have two regions of fundamental functional importance: the anti-codon, which is responsible for specific mRNA codon recognition, and the 3' end, to which the tRNAs corresponding amino acid is attached (by aminoacyl-tRNA synthetases). tRNAs cope with the degeneracy of the genetic code in two manners: having more than one tRNA (with a specific anti-codon) for a particular amino acid; and 'wobble' base-pairing, i.e. permitting non-standard base-pairing at the 3rd anti-codon position. The record is from RNAcentral. Lineage: Eukaryota; Fungi; Basidiomycota; Pucciniomycetes; Pucciniales; Coleosporiaceae.